Galeopterus variegatus (Sunda flying lemur) is the source of this 349-nucleotide long non-coding RNA. RefSeq lists it as uncharacterized. Lineage: Eukaryota; Metazoa; Chordata; Mammalia; Dermoptera; Cynocephalidae. The record is from RefSeq and is a predicted model, not a curated record. The transcript is spliced from 3 exons.
UAAAUCUGGCCUAUAACUGGAGUCUCAACAUUGGUGGGGGACAUUUUGUUUUGGGAAACUUCAGAAGAUGAGCCCUAAAAGCUGCAGAAGACCCAAGUUAGCAAUCCUGAGAUCAAGAACUAUACAGAAAAUGUAAAAUUUUAAAACUCCAGGACUUCCUCGUGCUCCCAGAUCCACUCCCCAAAGAUGCAAUGCCUGGUGAUGCAGCAGCCUUUUGAGCACGAGGACUAAAGCUAGAUGCUGGGGCAGGAAGGAGCCUGGGACAAUGAUGACAUCUUGAGCAGUUUCAUCAGCCCUGGACUGCCUACCCCUGGGCCUCUUGUUAGGUGAUUAAAAUAAAUCCCUUUCU